GAGGGUAUAGCUCAGUGGUAGAGUGCAUGCUUAGCAUGCGUGAGGCCCUGGGUUCAAUCUAUAGUACCUCA
This 71-nucleotide transfer RNA is filed under the name Camelus bactrianus (Bactrian camel). It matches the Rfam family "tRNA". Rfam says of the family: Transfer RNA (tRNA) molecules are approximately 80 nucleotides in length. Their secondary structure includes four short double-helical elements and three loops (D, anti-codon, and T loops). Further hydrogen bonds mediate the characteristic L-shaped molecular structure. tRNAs have two regions of fundamental functional importance: the anti-codon, which is responsible for specific mRNA codon recognition, and the 3' end, to which the tRNAs corresponding amino acid is attached (by aminoacyl-tRNA synthetases). tRNAs cope with the degeneracy of the genetic code in two manners: having more than one tRNA (with a specific anti-codon) for a particular amino acid; and 'wobble' base-pairing, i.e. permitting non-standard base-pairing at the 3rd anti-codon position. RNAcentral also lists the same sequence under 2 other names. The record is from Rfam by way of RNAcentral. Lineage: Eukaryota; Metazoa; Chordata; Mammalia; Artiodactyla; Camelidae.